RNAcentral lists this unclassified non-coding RNA (432 nucleotides) under soil metagenome. Its description in RNAcentral is "partial contains 5.8S ribosomal RNA, internal transcribed spacer 2, and large subunit ribosomal RNA". The stretch from base 1 to 120 matches the Rfam family "5.8S ribosomal RNA", at positions 35 to 154 of the family's 154-position model. The record is from RNAcentral.
GAUGAAGAACGCAGCGAAAUGCGAUACGUAAUGUGAAUUGCAGAAUUCAGUGAAUCAUCGAAUCUUUGAACGCAUAUUGCGCUCUCUGGUAUUCCGGAGAGCAUGCUUGUUUGAGUAUCAGUAAACACCUCAACUUCCAUAUCUUUUUUGAAAUGGGAGUUGGACUUGAGUGAUCCCAACGCUUUUCCUCACCGAAAAGUGGCGGGUUACUUGAAAUGCAGGUGCAGCUGGACUGUUCUCUGAGCUAUAAGCAUAUCUAUUUAGUCUGCCUAAAAAACAGAUUAUUACCUUUGCUGCAGCUAACAUAAAGGAGAUUAGUUCUUGUGCUGACUGAUGCAGGAUUCACAAAGACAGCUUCGGCCGACUUUGUAAACUCGAUCUCAAAUCAAGUAAGACUACCCGCUGAACUUAAGCAUAUCAAUAAGCGGAGGA